UCUCCGUUGGUGAACCAGCGGAGGGAUCAUUACCGAGUUUACAACUCCCAAACCCCUGUGAACAUACCUAACGUUGCCUCGGCGGGAAAGCCCCGGGCGUUGGCGCAAGCCUCGCACCGGUAUCAGGCGCCCGCCGGAGGAUAACCAAACUCUGAUUUAACGACGUUUCUUCUGAGUGGUACAAGCAAAUAAUCAAAACUUUUAACAACGGAUCUCUUGGUUCUGGCAUCGAUGAAGAACGCAGC
This 245-nucleotide unclassified non-coding RNA is filed under the name uncultured fungus. RNAcentral describes it as "sequence contains ITS1, 5.8S rRNA gene". The stretch from base 197 to 245 matches the Rfam family "5.8S ribosomal RNA", at positions 1 to 49 of the family's 154-position model. Lineage: Eukaryota; Fungi. The record is from RNAcentral.